CGCAUCUGUGCAUGCAGCAUAUCAAUAAGCGGAGGAAAAGAAACUAACAAGGAUUCCCCUAGUAACGGCGAGUGAAGCGGGAAGAGCUCAAAUUUGAAAUCUUAAAGGGUUUCCCUUUACGAAUUGUAGUUUAAAGAAGUGUUUUCUGUUGAGGUUUUGGUAAAAGUUCUUUGGAAUAGGACAUCAUGGAGGGUGAGAAUCCCGUAUUUGACCUUUACUUUCAACUUUGUGAUACACUUUCAAAGAGUCGGAUUGUUUGGGAAUGCAGUCCAAAAUGGGUGGUAAAUUUCAUCUAAAGCUAAAUAUUGGCGAGAGACCGAUAGCGAACAAGUACCGUGAGGGAAAGAUGAAAAGAACUUUGAAAAGAGAGUUAAACAGUACGUGAAAUUGUCAAAAGGGAAGCGUUUGACACCAGUGUUGUUUUUCUGAAAAUCAAUUAAAGAACUGUUUAUGCUAAGUUGUUUAGACUUUAUCAGCUAACUGUUUAGUUUUGAGCUUUUCUUUAAUGCACUUUUCAGUUAACAAGUCAACAUCAAUUUCUUUUGCUGUAAAAAAGCUUGAGGAAGGUGGCUUGAGAUUCGUCUUAAGUGUUUAUAGCCUCUCGCCUAUGCAGUCGGAGAGAUUGAGGUCUGCAGCGUAGAUCCUUCGGGGCUAAAUGCAUUUGUGCUAAGUUAUAGCAUUUUAUAGACAACUUGUUGACUAUGAUUUGUCUUGUAGCUUACUCGCUUAUGUUAUUUUACCUACGCUUAGGAUGUUGAGCGCAUGUCUCUCUCU
RNAcentral lists this ribosomal RNA (774 nucleotides) under uncultured Neocallimastigales. Its description in RNAcentral is "partial large subunit ribosomal RNA". It matches the Rfam family "Eukaryotic large subunit ribosomal RNA", at positions 26 to 616 of the family's 3401-position model. The record is from RNAcentral. Lineage: Eukaryota; Fungi; Neocallimastigomycota; Neocallimastigomycetes; Neocallimastigales.